GACGAACGCUGGCGGCGUGCUUAACACAUGCAAGUCGAACGAUGAAGCCCAGCUUGCGGGGUGGACUAGUGGCGAACGGGUGAGUAACACGUGAGUAACCUGCCCUUAACUCUGGGAUAAGCCUGGGAAACUGGGGCGAAUACAGGAUAGGAGCGUCCACCGCAUGGUGGGUGGUGGAAAGAUUUAUCGGUUUUGGAUGGACUCGCGGCCUAUCAGCUUGUUGGUGAGGUAAUGGCUCACCAAGGCGACGACGGGUAGCCGGCCUGAGAGGGUGACCGGCCACACUGGGACUGAGACACGGCCCAGACUCCUACGGGAGGCAGCAGUGGGGAAUAUUGCACAAUGGGCGGAAGCCUGAUGCAGCAACGCCGCGUGAGGGAUGACGGCCUUCGGGUUGUAAACCUCUUUCAGUAGGGAAGAAGCGAAAGUGACGGUACCUGCAGAAGAAGCACCGGCUAACUACGUG
RNAcentral lists this ribosomal RNA (466 nucleotides) under uncultured bacterium. RNAcentral's name for it is "partial 16S ribosomal RNA". It matches the Rfam family "Bacterial small subunit ribosomal RNA", at positions 28 to 507 of the family's 1533-position model. The record is from RNAcentral.